AGGCUCCUCCUGUGCUUCUCUCCUCCCUCCAGAUGCUCCACUGUCACUUGUGCCCUCCCACCUAUCAAGGAGUUGCUCUUUCCCAAGGAGAGAGGGCUCUGCUGCCUUCUACCCACAGAAUCACCCUGGGCAAAUAGCUUCCCCUUCUUGGUCUCAGUCUCCCUAACAGGAAAACUGGAGACUAGGUAAAAUGACUGAAGAGGCUAGCCAGGAACCAAGCACCAGAAUGCCACAGAUAGAAAAACAGGACCAGAGAGAAAGCACCAUCCCAAGAUCUCAUACAGAGAACAAGGAAGCAGAUGCCCCUAGCAAGCAAACAGGGCAUUUCCAAUUCUCUUGAGGGGGUCUCAUCUCUUCCCAAAGCAAUAAGAACAGGGUUGGAGCACCUCUGACUGACUGUUCUACAACCACCAGCACAGGGGCCCCUCAGUGAACAUCCGGCCAACACUCCCACUGGGAGUCCCAGAGAGCAAGGGGCUUACUCCAAGAUCAUGCGGCAAGCUGGUUUGUUCCACUGCCACCUGCCAAUCAGGAUAGGGUGGAAGUGGGGAAUGGGACACAUGCUGCUUUCCACUCAGUUCUUGUCCCUUCUAGAAAAUUCAGACAUGGAACCCGGGGGGGGGGGGGGGGGCCCUGUCCCCAUCCCAAAUAAGCAUAUAACUUGGGAGUAGUUUGGGGAGAUGAAAUAGACCUUUCCCCAAAUUCCUCAGAGGCCUUGCCAGGACCGUGAAUGAUGCUCUCCCACCGCCUAUUCCACAGCGCUGAGGUUUGAAAGGAGCCCCACCCUAACUCCACUCACUUCACCUUUGGGGCCCCGAUUCUCAGAGCAAAUGGGGCAAUCCUAGGAGUGUUGUAAAAAUUUGAUGUGGAAGGCCCAGGAGUUUCCCUCAGCCGGAGGGCACUGCGGAAAGCCCGUGAUUUCCCCAGGUGAGGCUCCGGCCGGGUGGUCGGUGGCGUAGCGGUUUGGCGUCCUGUGUCCCCGCGCUGAAGCCAGAUCCCGGUACCCGGCGGCCCCGCCCGCGGGAGGCGGGGGUGCAGGCCCAGCGCAGGCCGUUCCGCUGCCCCACGGGCGCCCAUGUUGGUCCACCCGGGCCGCGCCCCACCCGCGGUUUCCCUGGGUCAAAGCAGCCCCACUUUCCCAGAGCGCCCGUGGGUCGCAGACCCCGGGCGGCUUGCCCAUCCGUGAGCCCUGGGCUGCCUUGACCCCCGAUCCGCUGGCGGAGAGGGGCGCGAGGGCUGGAGCCCCCACAGCCCAGAGAACAGCUUCCCGUGGUCAGGGCGUCCUCCGGCUCAGGGGUUGCCGGAGAGCCCGAGAUCUCUCCAACCUCAGCGUACAGGUGGAGAAACUGAGGCCCAGAGUGGAGGAGCAAGUUGGCCAAGGUGACCCUGCGUGCGGCGACUGGAGCCCAGAUGUGCCACCGCUUCCAACGCGGUGCCAGCAACUGCGCAGGUGGGAAGGGCGAGGCGCCCGGCGCCCGCACCCCUGCCACG
Long non-coding RNA from Sciurus carolinensis (gray squirrel), 1491 nucleotides. RefSeq lists it as uncharacterized. The record is from RefSeq and is a predicted model, not a curated record. Lineage: Eukaryota; Metazoa; Chordata; Mammalia; Rodentia; Sciuridae. The transcript has 3 exons.